AAAGUGACGUGACGUUGUAAACAGUAGAAGUGGAGGGAAACUUGCUGCACUAAUUCUGGAGGGUGUGUCAAUAACGCUUACUUUACGAUAGUAUGUGGUGAUCAUUCGUAUUAAAUCGUGGCAUUAGGUAAUGAAGUCAUCACUGCAUGGGUCUGCAAUGUCCUGAAUAAUGCACUGGUGGCGGGACUUGUGACGCUUACCAAAGUUUUAUUGACGUGUAAGCUUCGUAUGAUUGGCGGCCGCAUUGCAAAUGGUCUCAGCUCGCAAUUACUAAGUAUAUACUAGUAGCAGACAGGUAAAGGAGCUUCAAGUAAGAAGUUGUCAUCCUUGUCUGCCACUCCUUCCACCAACACCACCACCAUGCUACAUGACCUGCUGGCAGCCAUGAAGGGCCAUGGAGGAGGUAUCUUUGUAUGGCAAGACACCAAAUUUAAGGUGAAUAAUGACCUUGGGUUGCUGCAUCCUUGUGAAGUGGCUAUUGUGGAGGAGAUAAUGGAUGUGGCUACAAACUUCAAAAAGAUUACUGCUUUCUGUGAUGCCCAUGAUGGAGGUGGUGUGGAGACUGGUGAUCAUUGUGGGGGAAUAUAUCUUUCUUCACUGUCUGCGGCACUGCGAGCCACUGCCACCACUACCUUCCAUCACACUGUGCUAGAGCUGGAAAAGAAAUUGCUUUUUGAUCCUGAGUUGCCUUUGACAACUGCUCUGGUGACCAUCCGCCCUAUUGGUCCAAUUCUGGCCACUCUUGCUAACCUAGUCACUCAGAUUAAAGAAAAACAAUUGCAUGGAUGCCAAAUACUAGAGACCGUGCACAAUCUCAUAGCAGUCUCAGUAGGUCAGGUGAAAGAGGUAUUUAGCAGGAUAGAGCAGAAAGUCCAUGCAGUUUUGUACCAUCAGCUCACUCUUUGGCUCCUGCAUGGCCUCCUUCUUGAUCCCCACCAGGAGUUCUUCAUUUCCACCUGUGCUUCCUCCUUCUCCUCUUCAGCUAGUACCACCAUGAGCACCACCUCCAGUCUAAGUCAGCAGACAGAGACUCUGAGUCUGGAAGAGAGCAGUGAUAAGAUGGCCUCAACCCCAGAGUGUCACCUUCGACUUGAGAUGUUGCCAGCACAUAUCCCCCUCUCUGUAGCUGAGAAAGUGCUUUUCAUUGGCGAAUUCAUCCUUGUCUUUGAACAUGGCGCACUAAGGGAAAAUGGAGAGUCCAGGCCCAGUCUAGCGUCAUCUCGGAGUGGUAAAGUGUUGAAAAAGCGAGAAGGGGAGUUCCGAGGGCUGCUGGCAGACCUGGCUGCUGAGCAAAGCUUUUCUGUGGAUAAAUUUAGCAGAGCCAUCGAAACCAUCAGAAAUUGUGUUUCUGAGGAAUUAUGGAAACUUGUAAUGGAAGCUGACAUUCUUGGAGAGUUGUCAGACCUUAAAGCAGUAUUCCUGCUUGGCAGAGGUGAACUAUUCCAAACACUGGUGCCCAUCAUCACUCCCUUCUUGCUGACCCCUGCAGACCCAUGUGCUGAUUUCACUGAGCUCUUCCGGUCAGCUGGACGUCAAGUGCUCAUGGAAGACAAUGUGUUAGAGAAGUUCACUCUUUCUCUGAAGAUGCCACCAAAAACUGCUGCAGCCACUUCCAGCCACACUUCAGAGGAGCAGUGGCAUGCACUGUGGCUAACAUACAGUGCCCGCUGGCCUCUUCACAAACUACUGACAUCAACAGCUCAAGACAAGUACAAUGCCAUUUUCACUUUUCUCUUGGAUGUAAGGAGAGCCCAAUACCGACUACAGCAGCUCUGGCUUGUCCAGCGCAGGAGUGGCAGGUUGGGGGAGGGUUCGUGCCUAGGAUGGACUCUCAGGCAUCACAUGGCUCUCCUUAUUGACAACAUCCAGUACUACCUACAGGCUGAUGUGUUGGAAUCUCAACACUGGCAACUGGUGAAAGCAGUGAAUGAGACACAGGACUACCAACAGUUAGUAACAGCACAUCAUGUCUUCUUAGCAUCAGUAGCAGCCCAGUGUUUCCUCCAUAGUCCAGUGGUAGCUCGUGCUAUUCAUUGCCUCCUUGGACUUGUUCAUCGGUUCUGUGCACAUCUAGAGUCUUCUGUUAGAAAUGGAAGCACUGAUAAAGAAGUGGUGGAGAGCUUACAUGAGGAAUUUGAAAGAGCAGCUGCACAACUCUUCUUUAUGCUUUCCAACUUGAGACUUCAUCGUACAGACCAGCAGCAACAUACCUCACAGCUCAUCAUGCGCAUUGACUACAACAGAUACUACAGCCACCAUUCUGGUUCCCUUCAGCGAUUAACAACAGCUUGCAAGGAAGGACAGUGAGAUCUGUGAAUUUCAAUUAGCAAUGCCAUUGAACACUGCAUCAGAGAGGUUGGGCUGGAAUGAAUAAGUAUUCUUUCAGUGUUUUCAAUACCCCAAGUUUUGCAGUCCUCAAGAUUAGCACUGCACCUUAAAAAACAAGCAAGCGUAAAACUCCUGAGGAUGGUGUAUGAUACACCCGCAAACCGAGUUUAUGCCCAUGCUACCAGUGGUGCAACACACGUGUUCCUGCCCAAUCAGUCCUGUCUAAGCUUAUGCUCACUCAGGACAUAUACAGUGCUAGCUAUUGCAGGAGUUGAGAGCAGACCAGCAACCAAUGCAAUGACACAACCAGGAAAAGAAGACUAGUGAAGUACACAUAAGCUGAGUAAUCCACAAAAUAACAAGAUUGCAAGAUUCAACCAUCAAGUGGUACCAUGACUACAAAUCUGUGGGCUAUCACCAAAAGGGGCCAUGACUUCCAUGUCAAAUAGGUCAAAUAUUCUACCUUCAAUUGUGAUCAGAAGGGUCAUUGGAGGUUGACAUGAUGCUCUAAGAUGCACCAUAAGAGACAAAUGUGCUUAGGUUAACCACCAGCAUCCCAUUAAAGCAUGUAAAAGCAUAUAUAUAACAUAUAUGAACAAAUUGAAUAAAUGUGCACAAAUUUA
This 2951-nucleotide unclassified non-coding RNA is filed under the name Portunus trituberculatus (swimming crab). RNAcentral's name for it is "gamma-tubulin complex component 4-like, transcript variant X4". Lineage: Eukaryota; Metazoa; Arthropoda; Malacostraca; Decapoda; Portunidae. The record is from RNAcentral.